UAGAAGACAAUUGUUGUAAGUGUAGCAAAAAAAAUUUUCAAUGAACGAUAUGAAUAAACGAUUUGUCCAUGAAUGAAAGCUAUAUUGCGUACUGCAAGGAUAAAGCAUGAAUCUCAAGUAGCCUGCCAACGAGUGCCGUGGCUGCCAUAGCUAACAGACCCAAGACCACAGCUCGCAGUAUUGCACGCACUCUUUUGGCACCUCCAAUGUGAGCACCCACAAACCCUAACAUACCAAGAAAAAACAUUGUAGCAAUUGGAAGAACAAGCGAUAGAUAUUCUAAAGGAGUAAUAAGAGAUGUCAAAAGAGGAAAUAUACCACCAACUGAGAAGGAAGCUGCUGAAGAUAGUGCUGCCAAAGUAGGUUUCGCUGUUGUGUGAAUAUUUAUGCCCAACUCAUCUCUAGCAUGGGCUUCCAGAGCAUUAUAUUCCAUCAAUUGAACGGCAACAGUACGUGAUAGCUCUUCAUCUAACCCUCGCCCUCUAUAAAUAGCGGCUAACUCAUCCACUUCUGCAUCCCAAUCAGCGUCCAUCUCUCUUCGUUCAAGUUGCAAAUCGGCAUCCUCUAAAUCUGCCUGUGAACUCACAGAUACAUAUUCUCCUACCGCCAUUGAUAGAGCACCAGACAUUAAACCGGCGACGCCAGUAAUGAGAAUAACUUUUAUAUCAGCAUUAGCUGCAACAACACCUACUAAUAAACCCGAAAGUGACAAAAUUCCAUCAUUGGCACCUAGCACUGAUGCGCGUAGCCAUCCAAUUUUAUUCACUGAAUGGGCUUCUUUAGGACGAGCUUCGAAUAUACUCCACAUUAGACAAAGAUAAAAGUUUAACGAUAGUGUAGAGGUAGUGAUUGAAUAAUUCCUUGAUAAAAAGUGCUUCUGGUUCCUAUUGUAAAAAGAUGAAGUUGCAAAGAACAAAAUAGAAAGAAAGAAGUUGAAAACUGCAAUUAGUAGGACACUGAAAACGGAGGCAUGGUGUCAAAAUAAAUAUUUGAUAUAGAAGCCUUUUGAUUGGUCAACGGGAUUAACGCGGCUUAAGAACCUUGUUUAAGUACUGAUAACAUCAAAAUGCUGGGAAUGUUUAACGCUAUGUUAACUUUCGGUAUCCUUAGAGGCUAUCACAAAUGAAUUCUAAAAAUGGCGGAACAUUUUUUACGACUUAUUUCAAUCGGUGAAAAUAUUAACAACCUGAAUAAUAUUUUGACUGUGUAUGCCCACAAAUAAGUGCUCAAUUUUCAUUUCUAAUUAUAAAAUUCAGUACUUUUUGGAAGACAUAUCUUGCUUUUUGAUUAGUAAUAUUAGAGUACUAGAAAUGUAAACUUCUUUCAUCUUUACUUAAUCCCCAACAUAGUUUUUGAAUGGUCUAGCGAUCCAGUGCCUGAGCGUGGAUUUAGAAGUCGAAGACCUUGUUGCAUAAGUGUCGUUUAAAUAAGAGCAUCACGGAUGUAGGCAUCCAUACAGUUGGUGAAAACGACCUAAAGUAGAAAUGCGAAAUUAAUCAAUCUGUAAUAGUACAUUGAUAUGCAAGGAUAUGUUAAUAUCGAAAAAAAUUGCCUAGCUUUUAAUAUGCCACUAUAUUAAGAAAAAGGGCAAUCAAUACUCCAAGUAACUUGUAUGAACAUUGCGACGUUUUAGCGAGUCGUGGAUUUACAAAGACUAUAAUACCUCAUAAUCCGAAAAAUGAUAUUCUUAAAAAUGAAUAAAUGGUAACACAUAUCGACAUUAAAGCGCUGAACCGAAUGAGUAUUUCGUUGUCUAUAGCAAUUCAUCUAUUAUUGACUAGUGUUUAAAGUAUUCAAUUAACACCUAUAUAAUUAGGUAAACAUGACUUAGCUUUGUAGCCCCAGCUGUAGAACCGGUUUCAGUACUGAUUUCUUUAGUAAACACUAAACGGAUAUAUUUUGAGGUGUAAGCAGCUUAAAUAGCUUUAAAACUUAAUACAGUCAGAUUUCUAUGCUUCUAAUUAAAGCAACAUAUGAUUAAAACGACCAAGGGAACACCAGAUAGCUAGCUAG
Molecule: long non-coding RNA, 2013 nt
Filed under: Schizosaccharomyces pombe (fission yeast)
Lineage: Eukaryota; Fungi; Ascomycota; Schizosaccharomycetes; Schizosaccharomycetales; Schizosaccharomycetaceae
Source: RNAcentral